RNAcentral lists this ribosomal RNA (492 nucleotides) under uncultured bacterium. Its description in RNAcentral is "partial 16S ribosomal RNA". It matches the Rfam family "Bacterial small subunit ribosomal RNA", at positions 29 to 507 of the family's 1533-position model. The record is from RNAcentral.
AGUGAACGCUGGCGGUAGGCCUAACACAUGCAAGUCGAACGGCAGCACAGUAAGAGCUUGCUCUUACGGGUGGCGAGUGGCGGGCGGGUGAGGAAUACAUCGGAAUCUACUUUUUCGUGGGGGAUAACGUAGGGAAACUUACGCUAAUACCGCAUACGACCUAUGGGUGAAAGCAGGGGAUCUUCGGACCUUGCGCGAUUGAAUGAGCCGAUGUCGGAUUAGCUAGUUGGCGGGGUAAAGGCCCACCAAGGCGACGAUCCGUAGCUGGUCUGAGAGGAUGAUCAGCCACACUGGAACUGAGACACGGUCCAGACUCCUACGGGAGGCAGCAGUGGGGAAUAUUGGACAAUGGGCGCAAGCCUGAUCCAGCCAUACCGCGUGGGUGAAGAAGGCCUUCGGGUUGUAAAGCCCUUUUGUUGGGAAAGAAAAGCAGCAGGUUAAUACCCCGCUGUUCUGACGGUACCCAAAGAAUAAGCACCGGCUAACUUCGUG